This 533-nucleotide long non-coding RNA is filed under the name Vigna radiata. RNAcentral's name for it is "long non-coding RNA (VRAD_LNC002165)". The record is from RNAcentral. Lineage: Eukaryota; Viridiplantae; Streptophyta; Magnoliopsida; Fabales; Fabaceae.
GGGCAUGUAUCUCCUUUUUCAUUGCAUCAAUCCAUUCGGGGUUGCCUUUGGCUUCUUCAUUAGACUUAGGUUUUUUAUUGGCAGUUAUAGCAAGAAUUCAAAUGUUUAUUUGAAAGAGAUUUAUAGGAUAAGACACUUUCAAUCGGAUAAGGAGUAAUCAAACCNUUCUUAGCACAUAACUGGGUAGAUGGAGAUUGAUCACCUUGUUGCACAUAGUUCUUUAGGUGUUCUGGAGCUUUUCUAAUUAUGCUGGAUCUCCUUUGCANGUUUCCUUGUUCCUGUUCUGCAGGAUUAAUGUCCUCAGUGGUAGUAUUCUCCCUAGUAGGUCUUUCAUUAGCAGAGUUAUUCUGAAUAGGAUUUAAAAUUCCUCUUUCAUUCUCGGCAAGGCUCUUUUCAUAGCUGCAAGCAAUAUCAUCAACAAAAAAUAUGUCUUCUUUAUCUAUAUUACGCCUACUUAUCCCUUCUUGUUUAUCUUUAUAUGGAAAAAUAUUUUCAUAAAAUACAACAUUUCUACUUAUGAAUAUCUCUCUGNN